UUAUUAUAGGCAUCCCAACUGAACCUUAGCGGUCAAUCAUGAUGGCUUUAUUUUGCCGCAGUGUGGCUCUCCUAUGCAUGGCUGUUUCUGCCAUUGUGGCACAAGAAGAUUGAGCACCUCCCAUACUUGACCUAGUGCUGUUUCAUACAAAUGGUGAAGGAGAUGCGGUCUACCACAUGGGACUUAUGACAGAUAGGUUUUUGAGACUACUAGUAAGCUUGAUGUUAAUAGAUGCAAGACUGCCCAUAUGAUGUGUAUCCUGCAGAUGACUUCUCUGGAUCAUAUUUGUCUAGGGAAUACCUCCUUGGCUCCUUCAUCCAUAUCUUAGCAACAGUGGAGCAGAAGGACCAUCAGCCCUUGCUGCUGAGUGUGGCGACCGCAACACCAGAGCUGCAUCCGGUGGGCUCCGUGUACCUCUUCGCCAAGGAGUUUUACAAUUGGGUUAUACAGCAGGAUGUGACUGGUGCUUUGUGCGCUGUGGAUUCAUGUGGCGAACCAUUCCUGAUUGAUGGCAAACCAUUUGACAUGUCUGGUGGAUAGCAUGACUUCAAACUCAAUUUGAACCAAGACAUUUCUGAAAUCCGUCUCUCUGCAAGCCUUCAAGUUUACCGUUGCAGUGGUAAACUUAUGUGACUUACAUUUUGACACUGAUGAAUAUGAGCACUGAUCCCUAAUUUCUUCUCAGGUCUAUAUACACUGUAAACUUUUGGCCUGGAACUCCAGCGGCCUUGAUACCAGCAGGAAGGCCUGCCAUUAUGUGCAAGGGCAUGGGUCAACUCAAAAUGCUGUCCUUGGACCACUUAUAACCACUGACAAUUCACUGGCCUAUGAUGUGAACGUGGUUUUGUUACACCCCAAAUGAUCAUGUCAAAGUUAAUUUUUGUAUAUUCUGUUUCAUUGACAUGUUAGCCGAACUGUACUUGUGUUUGUUUCAGGUGUGACCCUGAGUACAGCUGGGUUUCCUGGGAGAUGGGCAGCCAUCUACCGUGCAUGUCCUGACUCUGGAAUGGUUGACGUGAUUUGAAAUAAUGUGUUGCUUUUUCUUGGUUUUAUUCUCACUUGUUAUCUAACAAGAACCUAAGGUCAAGCACAUUAAACUUGACUGUGCCAUGAGUUUAAACUCAAUUUUGCAAGCAGGUCAUUGUGCCGAUGUGAUGCUAGUAAAUGGUUUGAAGCCUUUUAUUAAACCAAGCACGCUUAGGCAAUUGUAUAGUUCAACUAUGCUUAAAAGGAGAUCAGAAAUCCAUGGAUUGUGCUAGACUUGUCUUCAUGAUCUCAAACCAGAUGACUUGUUUCAAGGCUCAUGUAAUUCUCUCUCCAGUUGUCGCACCACUGCAUUGUCUGUAGUCGCCAGCGUUUUGAUAUUCAUAGAUGCUGUUUCUACGACAGCCUAGAUAUGUGCUUCAUAACCGCCGCGAUUGACUCUGCAGUACCUUCACUGUCUGAAAAUGCCUGUAUUUGUGAAAUAAUUGAGUGCCGUUGUCUUGGUUAUUACAAUGUUAAAAAAUGCAGAUGAAUCUGUAAGCGUUGCAGUAUUUAAGCUGUUUCUGUAGGUCAAGGUAAUGUCCUGAUUGGCGGGGCCUAUAUUGACCUAGCAGAGAAGGCUACCUUUUAUGAACUGAGGUAUUUGUUACAGAUCACUAACCAGUCACGGGAAGCCGGAGCCAAGUCACUUCAUUACACUAUUUUGAAAAACAAGUCUCACUUUCAGUCAGAUGACUUAUUUUAAUAUUAGCUGAGCUUUCAGUCAGUUGCUCUGCAGAGCAUAUCUCUACAGUGGGACAGAAAUAAUUUGACACCUGUGGUAAUCUGAAGUACCCAAAAAAUCCACUUACACAAUCAGAAAUACAAAUACUAGAUGAAUAUUUCCACUACAAAUACUAGAAAAAAAUGAUUUGUAUAAGGAACCCAUGCUUUCAAAAAGAGCAAUAGCGCAACAAUGGAAGAAACAAAAUAUACCUUUUCCCAAUAUUGUUCUGAUGGUUUACUACCUGAAAGUUCAGCUACUAUUAAAAUAAAUUUAGGAUCUUACUGGAAGUGUUCUGAGGCGUUUUGCAUUUUGCCUCCUGCACCUUCACUAAUCGGUUUUGGGUGUGCUGGAGAUUCUGCCUAUUAUCCACAAAAUAUUUUACCUUCAUUUGCUCUCCAGUUCUUCUACUAGGUGUUCACUUGCCUGUAGUCUGACCUCAAUGGCUUUCAGUUCAACAUCUUGUGCUUAAACACGCAAGCAAAACCAAUCAAUAUCACACAAAGGCUAUUUAGUUGUAAUGCAGUGUGUAGGCAUGUAGCUCAGCAGCUGUGAGAUCCCCUACCUUCAUUCUGUCUGAUCAGGUCUGCCACCUGGUUUUCAGGCUGACUUCCACUUCAGCAAGUUCCAUCUUGGUGUAUUUCAGUUCAACAAUUUGCUCUACCAACAUCUCAUCUGUCUCAGC
Oncorhynchus kisutch (coho salmon) is the source of this 2432-nucleotide long non-coding RNA. RefSeq lists it as uncharacterized. Lineage: Eukaryota; Metazoa; Chordata; Actinopteri; Salmoniformes; Salmonidae. The transcript has 3 exons. The record is from RefSeq and is a predicted model, not a curated record.